GACGAACGCUGGCGGCGUGCUUAAUACAUGCAAGUCAACUGAACUUUAGGUAGCAAUAUUUAAAGGGAGGUGGCGCACGGUGAGUAACACGUAGGUAAUCUGCCUUCAGGACUGGCAUAAUUCCGCGAAAGCGGGACUAAAAUCAGAUGAUGCAGCGGCUCGACAUCGAGACAGUUGUUAAACCUUCGGGGCCUGAAGAUGAGCCUGCGUCUGAUUAGGUAGUUGGCGGGGUAAAAGCCCACCAAGCCUGCGAUCAGUAGCUGGUCUGAGAGGAUGAUCAGCCACACUGGAACUGAGACACGGUCCAGACUCCUACUGGAGGCAGCAGUAAGGAAUAUUGCUCAAUGGCCGAAAGGCUGAAGCAGCAACGCCGCGUGGAGGAUGAAAUACUUUAGUAUGUAAACUCCUGUAAGAGGGGAAAAAUAUACAGCUAUGCUGUGUUGAUUGUACCCUCAGAGUAAGCACCGGCUAACUACGUGCCAG
This 483-nucleotide ribosomal RNA is filed under the name uncultured bacterium. RNAcentral's name for it is "bacterial SSU rRNA". It matches the Rfam family "Bacterial small subunit ribosomal RNA", at positions 28 to 511 of the family's 1533-position model. The record is from RNAcentral.